RNAcentral lists this long non-coding RNA (343 nucleotides) under Serinus canaria (Common canary). RNAcentral describes it as "lncRNA (ENSSCAG00000013328.1)". Lineage: Eukaryota; Metazoa; Chordata; Aves; Passeriformes; Fringillidae. The record is from RNAcentral.
CCCUCCGCCCAUAAAUCCCGGCGGAUCCGCGCCCGCUCCGCUUUUUGCCAAGGAUGCUCAUCCCAGCGUGCGGUGGGAGCGUCGGUCGGAGCGCUGCGCGGAGAUCCGGAUCGAGGGCUGCUGUCGGUACUGCGCGGAGCCCGAGGUGCUCAGGUCUGCUCUGAACAGGCUUGUGGAGAUGCUUCAGCACAGACAGAUGCCAUUGACGGCCCAGAAGGACACCAAGAAACAGCUGGCAUUACCUGGGGAUGGAGGCACGGACUGUUUGCAGAGGGCCCCGGACAGCAGUUCCAGUUUCCGACCUCCCAAAGCUCCUAUACACCUGCCAGAUAUUAAAUCCUAA